Molecule: transfer RNA, 72 nt
Filed under: Spinacia oleracea (spinach)
Lineage: Eukaryota; Viridiplantae; Streptophyta; Magnoliopsida; Caryophyllales; Amaranthaceae
Rfam family: tRNA
About the family: Transfer RNA (tRNA) molecules are approximately 80 nucleotides in length. Their secondary structure includes four short double-helical elements and three loops (D, anti-codon, and T loops). Further hydrogen bonds mediate the characteristic L-shaped molecular structure. tRNAs have two regions of fundamental functional importance: the anti-codon, which is responsible for specific mRNA codon recognition, and the 3' end, to which the tRNAs corresponding amino acid is attached (by aminoacyl-tRNA synthetases). tRNAs cope with the degeneracy of the genetic code in two manners: having more than one tRNA (with a specific anti-codon) for a particular amino acid; and 'wobble' base-pairing, i.e. permitting non-standard base-pairing at the 3rd anti-codon position.
Source: Rfam by way of RNAcentral
GUCAUUUUAGUAUAGUGGUAAGUAUUUCCGCCUGACACGCGGAUGACCCGGGUCCGAUCCCCGGCAACGGCG